UACGGCGAGUGAGCGGGAAGAGCUCAAAUUUGAAAUCUGGUAGCCUUCGGUUGCCCGAGUUGUAAUCUAGAGAAGUGUUUUCCGUGCCGGCCCAUGUACAAGUCCCUUGGAACAGGGCGUCAUAGAGGGUGAGAAUCCCGUCCUUGACAUGGACCCCCGGUGCUUUGUGAUACACUUUCAACGAGUCGAGUUGUUUGGGAAUGCAGCUCAAAAUGGGUGGUGAAUUCCAUCUAAAGCUAAAUAUUGGCGAGAGACCGAUAGCGAACAAGUACCGUGAGGGAAAGAUGAAAAGCACUUUGGAAAGAGAGUUAAACAGUACGUGAAAUUGUUGAAAGGGAAACGAUUGAAGUCAGUCAUGCUCUUGGGACUUACCUCCCUUGAGUGGGGUCAACAUCAGUUUUGAUCGAUGGAUAAAGGCACGGGGAAGGUAGCACUCUCGGGUGAACUUAUAGCCUCGCGUCAUAUACAUUGAUUGGGACUGAGGAACGCAGCAUGCCUUAUGGCCGGGAUUCGUCCACGUACAUGCUUAGGAUGUUGACAUAAUGGCUUUAAACGACCCGUCUUGAAACACGGACCA
RNAcentral lists this ribosomal RNA (577 nucleotides) under Naganishia albida. RNAcentral's name for it is "partial large subunit ribosomal RNA". It matches the Rfam family "Eukaryotic large subunit ribosomal RNA", at positions 85 to 668 of the family's 3401-position model. Lineage: Eukaryota; Fungi; Basidiomycota; Tremellomycetes; Filobasidiales; Filobasidiaceae. The record is from RNAcentral.